GGACUCUACGGGAGGCAGCAGUGGGGAAUAUUGCACAAUGGGCGCAAGCCUGAUGCAGCCAUACCACGUGUGUGAUAAGGCUUCGGGUUGUAAAGCACUUUCAGCGAGGAGGAAGGGUUCGGUGUUAAUAGCACUGUUCAUUGACGUUACUCGCAGGAGAAGCA
This 164-nucleotide ribosomal RNA is filed under the name uncultured bacterium. RNAcentral describes it as "partial 16S ribosomal RNA". It matches the Rfam family "Bacterial small subunit ribosomal RNA", at positions 333 to 492 of the family's 1533-position model. The record is from RNAcentral.